This is a non-coding RNA of Coturnix japonica (Japanese quail), 754 nucleotides long. NCBI's taxonomy places the organism in Eukaryota, Metazoa, Chordata, Aves, Galliformes, Phasianidae. The record is from RefSeq and is a predicted model, not a curated record.
UGUUUUUUUUUUCAGCAGUUCCUGAUCUGCCUUUCAAAAAGCUUAGUGUAAAUCUGGACAUUGGGACUAUACAUAUGACCUUGAUGCUCUAAAGUACUGGAACAAUCCUCCCACCGAUGGUAGAUGUAGUGUGGAUCAAAAAAAAAAACCUAUGCCUCUGUGGAAUGAUCGCUGGAAGCCAAAUGAUGUGUCCUACAUAGCCUAAAAUGGAGGGAGACUACAUCCUGUCUUCUGGAAAGAUACAGAGACUUCUCCGCAAGGAGGGGCCACAUGCUGGAAUUUGGGGAGGAUGGGUACAUGCAGAACAUUCUCCUUGGUUUGAGAUUCUGCAAACAUGACAGGAAUGAACAACCUGCUCUCUGUUCACUUCCCUGAAGAUAUUCACGCAAACAACUCACUUCAGUGUUGUUUUGCUUAUCAGCAUGUAACCUUGGACUGGGGUGUUACAGAGGGAGAUCUCUCCCAAGGAGUGAUGCUGCAAUACUUGUGUGUUAAUGAUGGUGUCCUGCCAGGGAGGUGUCAAAUACAUUCCUUCAGGAAAACAAAGGAAGAGGAACUUUGCCAAAGACAUCCCAAUGAAGAAGGUAUCAGUUUUUGAUAAAAGAACUAUCCAAAAGCUCAGGAAUCUGGGAAAUUUCUACUCCUUAUUACCUUGUGAUCGAUGGUCCAUGAGUAAGAUAAAUUAUUCUGUCUCUCUUUCCCUUUCUGAAACAAAAGCAAAGUAACUUAAAUAAAUCAACUAUGCUGGCUAUCA